GAGGGUUGAUAGGUUAAGAGCUAAUUGACUGGACGUCACCCACAGAAGAAGCACCGGCUAACUCCGUGCCAGCAGCCGCGGUAAUACGGAGGGUGCGAGCGUUAAUCGGAAUUACUGGGCGUAAAGGGUGCGUAGGUGGUUAAUUAAGUUAUCUGUGAAAUUCCUGGGCUCAACCUGGGGUGGUCAGAUAAUACUGGUUGACUUGAGUAUGGUAGAGGGUAGUGGAAUUUCCGGUGUAGCGGUGAAAUGCGUAGAGAUCGGAAAGAACACCGGUGGCGAAGGCGGCUACCUGGACUAAUACUGACACUGAGGCACGAAAGCGUGGGGAGCAAACAGGAUUAGAUACCCUGGUAGUCCACGCUGUAAACGAUGUCAACUAGCUGUUGGUUAUAUGAAUAUAAUGAGUGGCGCAGCAAACGCGAUAAGUUGACCAGCAAACGCGAUAAGUUGACCA
Molecule: ribosomal RNA, 454 nt
Filed under: uncultured Legionella sp.
Lineage: Bacteria; Pseudomonadati; Pseudomonadota; Gammaproteobacteria; Legionellales; Legionellaceae
Description: bacterial SSU rRNA
Rfam family: Bacterial small subunit ribosomal RNA
Source: RNAcentral